ACCUAAAAGCAUUAGUUUUGCUCACAGAACUUUUGCUCAGCUAAAAUUAUUGGAAAGAAAGAGGGAAAAAGGUUUUAUUCAUUAUUAAUGAGUAAAUAUUUGGCAUAAGUCUAUGCAUAAAAAAUAAUUUCAUAUGCUUAGCUAUAAAAUUCUUUUCAUAGGAUAAUAUUUUUAGUUUGCAGUGUAUGUAUAUGUAAAUAAGCUAUUGAUACUAUAUGUAAGUGAGCUGAGCUGCAUAUACUUUGAAAUUUGCUACAUAUUCUAUCUUGAAAGGUUCAUGUGUGAUAUUUAUAUAGUUUCAAUUAAUUAUUACAUUUCACAUGCAAUUUUUAUCCAGUAUAUGUCUUUUAUAUAUACUUUUAUUUUUAUUUUUGUAGGGUAAAGGCAAAGCAAGUAUUUUAGCAUCAGGCUGUUAUUUGAAAAAAAAAAAAAAAAAAAAAAAAAAAAAUCCAAAUUCUGCACUUCUAAUAUUUGCUAAAUGGAAUAGAAGACAUGGAAUCUCUUGGACCAGCUCAGAAUAAACAGCCCAUUAUAGUGUGUAUUACAAGUUCAUUCUAUAUUAAAGCAGUAAAUCACUUAAAAGCAUGCCCAAAUCAUGCCAUGAAGGCAUUUGACAUUCUAUUUAAAACUAAUUUUGUAUUUAGCGUUCAAUAUGCACAUACAUCAACAAAUUUUUAUAAUUUUGUGGCAAGCCUUUUGUAUAAUGUCAGCACUCCUAGAGCUUGUGUGGACUCUUUAAAUACAUGUUCGAGUCUGAAUUUAUUGCAUUUUGUACAUGCAUUACAUUUCAUAUUUUUAAUGUCAUUUUAGUGUCAUAUUUUCCAUUUUUAUAUAUGUAUAUAUAUGUACAUAUAUUUCCUAAUAAAGAGUUUUUCAUGCAA
Stegodyphus dumicola is the source of this 881-nucleotide long non-coding RNA. Lineage: Eukaryota; Metazoa; Arthropoda; Arachnida; Araneae; Eresidae. The record is from RefSeq and is a predicted model, not a curated record.